This 406-nucleotide transfer-messenger RNA is filed under the name Candidatus Peribacteraceae. RNAcentral describes it as "JAGOTD01 sp018061945 Standard tmRNA". It matches the Rfam family "transfer-messenger RNA". From Rfam's summary of the family: Bacterial tmRNA, also known as 10Sa RNA or SsrA, is named for its dual tRNA and mRNA-like properties. Its role is to liberate the mRNA from a stalled ribosome. Lineage: Bacteria; Candidatus Peregrinibacteriota; Candidatus Peribacteria; Candidatus Peribacterales. The record is from RNAcentral. RNAcentral also lists the same sequence under 1 other name.
GGGGAUGACAGGCUUCGACAGCGUGAUACUAGAGAGUGUGUGCUUCUGUCCGGGAUGGCAACGGUUCCCGAUACCCACAUGUUGCAAAAAUUAUCUGCCGACAAAUUUGCCGACAGCGUCAUUGGUAAGGCUAUUGCAAAGAUGAAUGUCUUCGCACCAGCUCUAGCUAUGGCAUAAGGUUUCCCUCUGUGAAACCGCGCUCCCUCUGGAUUCUCGCUAGAGAGUACGGGCGUUACCAGCGAGGCGUCUUGCGUAUCGGAUGUUGUACGCAACCACGUAUCCAGACAUCAUCCUCACCCAUCAUCUUUGUUCUUCUCUAAGAUGGCGUGAGUACCGAGAAGACCAUGACAGUACGGGCCUCCUUUCUACACGUUGGACCCGGGUUCAACUCCCGGCAUCUCCACCA